This is a non-coding RNA of Pantherophis guttatus, 275 nucleotides long. The record is from RefSeq and is a predicted model, not a curated record. NCBI's taxonomy places the organism in Eukaryota, Metazoa, Chordata, Lepidosauria, Squamata, Colubridae.
GCAGGAGGCUCCGCCCACUGACCUGGACAUCAUCAUAGGCGAUCUGCGGAUACACAGACGCUUCUGUGCAUGUGCAGAAGAGUGCGCACACGUGCUCGCUUUGCUCACGUGUCUGCGCGGGUACAAUGCGAACCAGUAGUACAGGUGCUUCAGAGAAUAGGCGGAUCCCCUCCUUUCUGUGACAACCCCUCAAAAUAUUGGAAGACUGCUAUUAAAGACUAAGAUGAAAGAUAAGCAACUAAGAUGAAACAAUGGAGCCUUUUGAUUCCCUUGAA